Long non-coding RNA from Tachysurus fulvidraco (yellow catfish), 955 nucleotides. RefSeq lists it as uncharacterized. Lineage: Eukaryota; Metazoa; Chordata; Actinopteri; Siluriformes; Bagridae. The transcript has 2 exons. The record is from RefSeq and is a predicted model, not a curated record.
ACGUCACGGUGCAGGUUAUUGGCAGCUCUACGGAGCUAUAAAAACAGGAGCAGGCACGGUUACCUGGGAUGCGUCACUUGGUUACUUGCCGCGUCACUAACGCGCUUCCGUCACUUCCCGGAACUAGAUGUGAGUGCUUGAGACGGUGUCGUGACGGCCUGUAAUUAUUCCAGUCGGCGUGCUCCGCGUUUGUAUGACUGCAGUGCUGUCCUGUUUCCAAAAGGGUUUUCAAUCCGGUUUCCAGAUCUGUUUCCAAACCUGUUUCUAAGUUUAUCUUUUGGUUAUUUUCCUUUUGUGGUUGUUCCAUAUUGUUUUGUCUGUUUUUUUAGUUUUACAAUAUAUUAUUGUUGAAGUAUUUCAUUUGAAAUUUUGAUUUGAUUCUUUGGUUUGCUGCCGUUCUUCAGUUGCACUUGAUUUCGUAUUGCUUCUGGGGUUUGAACAGUUAAUUUGGAUUUUGAUUUCUUAAGUUACUUUUUAUCCAACUGUGUUGGAUUUAGUUUUGAUUUAUAUAAUUUGGCUACAAAUUUAUUUUCCCUCUCACAUUUUAAUUUGUAUUUUGUGGAAAUUUGAUUUAUUGGAGCAACUAUUUAUUGGUUGUGAAAUUUUAAUUAUAUACUUUUGUUUUUUGAGUUGACUCAGUCUUUAAUGUGACUGUGGUUGAUGCCAUAUCUAUCUUGGCAGGGCCUGAGCACUAGGGGUGAAGGACUGGUUUUUGGUGGUGGUAUUUCCUCACAAGCGUGCAGUGACCAUCUCACUGGGUGCAUGUGUGUACACAAUGAAGUACGGUGAUUUACCUAUGAGUGUUGUCUGUUUAUCUGCUUUCUAUACUGGUAAGCUCUAGUCCCUGUCUCUCAAUUCAUUCAAGAACGAGAUCUGUAGAUUGUUUGGCUGAAGAAUGUUUCUUUAUUUAUUUUAAUGUUUUAAUGAUGUCAAUAAAGAGAACUUUGUAUCGUUA